Molecule: long non-coding RNA, 1166 nt
Filed under: Canis lupus familiaris (dog)
Lineage: Eukaryota; Metazoa; Chordata; Mammalia; Carnivora; Canidae
Description: lncRNA (ENSCAFG00000051469.1)
Source: RNAcentral
CCCUUAGGACAGUAUUUCCAAAGUUCAUCAUUGUUGUAGUGGGUAUCAGUACUUCACCCCUUGUCAGUGCUGAAUAAUAUUCCAUUGUAUGGAUGAUGUCACAUUUAAUUUAUUCAUCAAUUGAUGGACAUUUGAAUUGUUUCUGCUUUUGGGCUAUUAUAAAUAUAAUUAGUAUUGCUGUGAAUAUUCAUGUACAAAUUUUUAUGUAAAGAUAUUUUCAUUUCUCUUGGUUAUAUAUCUAGCAGUAGAAUUGCCAGAUCAUAUAGUAAUCUACAUUUAACUUUUUAAGGUUAUGUAGAACUUGACUAUUUAGAAAGUGCUUUAUAGCCUUUGUAUUUUUUUUUUUUUUUCAUCAUAGUAACUGACUGAGAAAGCAAAUUGAAGAUCUGGAAGGUUAGAUGGCCUAGAGGAAAACUUGCACAUGCCACAGAAAUAUAUUUAAAAUGAGGUUCCAGCGUUCUAGGGCAGAGCUGCAGCCUCAGUAUAUAUUGGUCAGGAAAGGAAAAUAAAAUGUGUGAUAAUCCAGUAGUGGAAGACUGUAUUGCAGGUGUGUCUCUGUGUGUAUAGCAUCUUUGUGUAUAUAGAUAAGCAGGAACAGACUUAAAACCAUAAAACAGGUGAGUGGAAAAACUGGAGUUGCAGAAUGGAUAGAUACAGUGUAACAUCAUCUAUAUAAGUUAAGAAAAUCAGGGCAGCCCUGGUGGCGCAGCGGUUUAGCGCCACCUGCAGCCCGGGGUGUGAUCCUGGAGACCCAGGAUCGAGUCCCACGUCAGGCUCCCUGCAUGGAGCCUGCUUCUCCCUCUGCCUGUGACUCUGCCUCUCUCUCUCUCUCUCUCUCUGAAUAAAUAAAAAAGUAAAAUCUUAAAAAAAAGAAAAUCAUAAAAUAAUGCUGUAUACUGCUGUGCAUUUGAAAUAGUACUAAAAUGGCUAUGAAGGGCAUUCACCAAACUGUGUACUGGUUGCUUUGCAUCCCUAUUCCUGAACUUUAAAAUCUUUGCCAUUUCUCCUUACUAUAUAUUUAACGGAUUAUUUGUUACAAGACGGUCAAUUUCUUUAGAAUAAAAAAACCCUUAUUUUUCUUACUGCUUUGUCUGGUAUAAUAUGCAUAGCAUAUAAGUAAGAAAACAGAUUUUUGAAUUGCUAAGCAAAUGAAUACUAGGCCACUU